Molecule: microRNA precursor, 74 nt
Filed under: Pongo abelii (Sumatran orangutan)
Lineage: Eukaryota; Metazoa; Chordata; Mammalia; Primates; Hominidae
Description: miRNA
Source: RNAcentral
GUGGGAGGGGGUUGUGCAUGCUGGUUGGUGUGGGCUGCCUGUGGACCAGUCAGCAUGCACUUCCCCACCCUGAA